ACAUAGUGGAGGUUAUCAAGGAGACAGGUGGUGCAUGGUUGUCGUCAGCUCGUGUCGUGAGAUGUUGGGUUAAGUCCCGCAACGAGCGCAACCCUUAUUGCUAGUUACCAUCAUUAAGUUGGGGACUCUAGCGAGACUGCCAGUGAUAAACUGGAGGAAGGUGGGGAUGACGUCAAAUCAUCAUGCCCCUUAUGACCUGGGCUACAAACGUGAUACAAUGGCUGAAACAAAGGGCAGCGAAGCAGUGAUGUGGAGCGAAACCCAAAAAAGCAGUCUCAGUUCGGAUUGAAGUCUGCAACUCGACUUCAUGAAGUUGGAAUCGCUAGUAAUCGUAGAUCAGAACGCUACGGUGAAUACGUUCUCGGGGUUU
This 370-nucleotide ribosomal RNA is filed under the name uncultured Acholeplasma sp. RNAcentral's name for it is "bacterial SSU rRNA". It matches the Rfam family "Bacterial small subunit ribosomal RNA", at positions 1013 to 1382 of the family's 1533-position model. The record is from RNAcentral. Lineage: Bacteria; Bacillati; Mycoplasmatota; Mollicutes; Acholeplasmatales; Acholeplasmataceae.